GAUGAACGCUGGCGGCGUGCCUAAUACAUGCAAGUCGAGCGAACAGACGAGGAGCUUGCUCCUCUGACGUUAGCGGCGGACGGGUGAGUAACACGUGGAUAACCUACCUAUAAGACUGGGAUAACUUCGGGAAACCGGAGCUAAUACCGGAUAAUAUAUUGAACCGCAUGGUUCAAUAGUGAAAGACGGUUUUGCUGUCACUUAUAGAUGGAUCCGCGCCGCAUUAGCUAGUUGGUAAGGUAACGGCUUACCAAGGCAACGAUGCGUAGCCGACCUGAGAGGGUGAUCGGCCACACUGGAACUGAGACACGGUCCAGACUCCUACGGGAGGCAGCAGUAGGGAAUCUUCCGCAAAGGGCGAAAGCCUGACGGAGCAACGCCGCGUGAGUGAUGAAGGUCUUCGGAUCGUAAAACUCUGUUAUUAGGGAAGAACAAAUGUGUGAGUAACUAUGCACGUCUUGACGGUACCUAAUCAGAAAGCCACGGCUAACUACGUG
This 497-nucleotide ribosomal RNA is filed under the name uncultured bacterium. Its description in RNAcentral is "partial 16S ribosomal RNA". It matches the Rfam family "Bacterial small subunit ribosomal RNA", at positions 28 to 507 of the family's 1533-position model. The record is from RNAcentral.